Molecule: transfer RNA, 68 nt
Filed under: Dianemobius furumagiensis
Lineage: Eukaryota; Metazoa; Arthropoda; Insecta; Orthoptera; Trigonidiidae
Description: tRNA-Met
Source: RNAcentral
AAAAAGAUAAGCUAAAUAAGCUCUUGGGUUCAUACCCCAACUAUAGAAGUAAAUUCUUCUUCUUUUUA